CCUACGGGAGGCAGCAGUGAGGAAUAUUGGUCAAUGGACGCAAGUCUGAACCAGCCAUGCCGCGUGCAGGAAGACGGCUCUAUGAGUUGUAAACUGCUUUUGUACAAGGGUAAACGCAGAUACGCGUAUCUGUCUGAAAGUAUCUUACGAAUAAGGAUCGGCUAACUCCGUGCCAGCAGCCGCGGUAAUACGGAGGAUUCAAGCGUUAUCCGGAUUUAUUGGGUUUAAAGGGUGCGUAGGCGGUCGUAUAAGUUAGAGGUGAAAGCACGAGGCUCAACUGCGGAAUUGCCUCUGAUACUGGUCGGCUAGAGAGUAGUUGCGGUAGGCGGAAUGUAUGGUGUAGCGGUGAAAUGCUUAGAGAUCAUGCAGAACACCGAUUGCGAAGGCAGCUUACCAAGCUACUUCUGACGUUGAGGCACGAAAGCGUGGGGAGCAAACAGGAUUAGAUACCCCAGUAGUC
RNAcentral lists this ribosomal RNA (460 nucleotides) under uncultured bacterium. RNAcentral's name for it is "partial 16S ribosomal RNA". It matches the Rfam family "Bacterial small subunit ribosomal RNA", at positions 338 to 795 of the family's 1533-position model. The record is from RNAcentral.